AAUUAGGCUGCAUCAAAGUAACUAAGUGAAAGUGGUAUGUCAAAAAAACAUCCUAUGCUGGGCAGACAGCAAAUUGAUGACCUGUAUGGCAGUCCAGCAGGAAGCAUGUUCACGGCCACAGCAUAUUUCAUGGAGAACAGAAAAAACUUCAGAAUUUCAUGGAGAACAGAAAAAACAUACCCUCCUCGCUGUACCAGACAACCUACAAGUACUAUCCUAUUAAGGUGUGCAUGGCCUGUCAACUUGACGCACAGAAAUGGGCAAAAUUCUAUGGUGCCAGGAAACCAAUCUAUUUGAGAUCUGACGAACACGAUAUGGAAAGAAAAUGGAGGCUGGAAAAAAAAAGAUGUGGAUCAAAGAUGUUUCAUUGCAAAACUACAUAGUAUGUUAAACUGAUCCCCAUUGUUCUACAACCAAAGGGAAGAGUUAAAAGAAGGGCACGAGAUCAAGGUUGAAUUGAUGUCUUCA
RNAcentral lists this long non-coding RNA (468 nucleotides) under Setaria italica (foxtail millet). Its description in RNAcentral is "long non-coding RNA (SITA_LNC006791)". Lineage: Eukaryota; Viridiplantae; Streptophyta; Magnoliopsida; Poales; Poaceae. The record is from RNAcentral.